This 71-nucleotide transfer RNA is filed under the name Linnemannia schmuckeri. RNAcentral's name for it is "Mortierella schmuckeri tRNA". It matches the Rfam family "tRNA". Rfam says of the family: Transfer RNA (tRNA) molecules are approximately 80 nucleotides in length. Lineage: Eukaryota; Fungi; Mortierellomycota; Mortierellomycetes; Mortierellales; Mortierellaceae. The record is from Rfam by way of RNAcentral. RNAcentral also lists the same sequence under 2 other names.
GCUGUUAUAGCUUAAUGAUAAAGCAAGUUACUGUUAAUAAUUGGAUAGGGGUUUGAUUCCUCUUAACGGCU